GGUUAAGCGACUAAGCGUACACGGUGGAUGCCCUGGCAGUCAGAGGCGAUGAAGGACGUGCUAAUCUGCGAAAAGCGUCGGUAAGGUGAUAUGAACCGUUAUAACCGGCGAUGUCCGAAUGGGGAAACCCAGUGCAAUUCGUUGCACUAUCGUUAACUGAAUACAUAGGUUAACGAGGCGAACCGGGGGAACUGAAACAUCUAAGUACCCCGAGGAAAAGAAAUCAACCGAGAUUCCCCCAGUAGCGGCGAGCGAACGGGGAGCAGCCCAGAGUCUGAAUCAGCUUGUGUGUUAGUGGAACGGUCUGGAAAGUCCGACGGUACAGGGUGAUAGUCCCGUACACCAAAAUGCACAGGUUGUGAACUCGAAGAGUAGGGCGGGACACGUGGUAUCCUGUCUGAAUAUGGGGGGACCAUCCUCCAAGGCUAAAUACUCCUGACUGACCGAUAGUGAACCAGUACCGUGAGGGAAAGGCGAAAAGAACCCCGGCGAGGGGAGUGAAAAAGAACCUGAAACCGUGUACGUACAAGCAGUGGGAGCACCUUCGGGUGUGACUGCGUACCUUUUGUAUAAUGGGUCAGCGACUUAUAUUCUGUAGCAAGGUUAACCGUAUAGGGGAGCCGCAGGGAAACCGAGUCUUAACUGGGCGUUAAGUUGCAGGGUAUAGACCCGAAACCCGGUGAUCUAGCCAUGGGCAGGUUGAAGGUUGGGUAACACUAACUGGAGGACCGAACCGACUAAUGUUGAAAAAUUAGCGGAUGACUUGUGGCUGGGGGUGAAAGGCCAAUCAAACCGGGAGAUAGCUGGUUCUCCCCGAAAGCUAUUUAGGUAGCGCCUCGUGAACUCAUCUUCGGGGGUAGAGCACUGUUUCGGCUAGGGGGUCAUCCCGACUUACCAACCCGAUGCAAACUACGAAUACCGAAGAAUGUUAUCACGGGAGACACACGGCGGGUGCUAACGUCCGUCGUGAAGAGGGAAACAACCCAGACCGCCAGCUAAGGUCCCAAAGUCAUGGUUAAGUGGGAAACGAUGUGGGAAGGCACAGACAGCCAGGAUGUUGGCUUAGAAGCAGCCAUCAUUUAAAGAAAGCGUAAUAGCUCACUGGUCGAGUCGGCCUGCGCGGAAGAUGUAACGGGGCUAAACCAUGCACCGAAGCUGCGGCAGCGACACUAUGUGUUGUUGGGUAGGGGAGCGUUCUGUAAGCCUGCGAAGGUGACCUGUGAGGGUUGCUGGAGGUAUCAGAAGUGCGAAUGCUGACAUAAGUAACGAUAAAGCGGGUGAAAAGCCCGCUCGCCGGAAGACCAAGGGUUCCUGUCCAACGUUAAUCGGGGCAGGGUGAGUCGACCCCUAAGGCGAGGCCGAAAGGCGUAGUCGAUGGGAAACAGGUUAAUAUUCCUGUACUUGGUGUUACUGCGAAGGGGGGACGGAGAAGGCUAUGUUAGCCGGGCGACGGUUGUCCCGGUUUAAGCAUGUAGGCUG
This 1479-nucleotide ribosomal RNA is filed under the name Klebsiella pneumoniae. RNAcentral's name for it is "partial 23S ribosomal RNA". It matches the Rfam family "Bacterial large subunit ribosomal RNA", at positions 1 to 1527 of the family's 2925-position model. Lineage: Bacteria; Pseudomonadati; Pseudomonadota; Gammaproteobacteria; Enterobacterales; Enterobacteriaceae. The record is from RNAcentral.